RNAcentral lists this ribosomal RNA (252 nucleotides) under uncultured Gardnerella sp. Its description in RNAcentral is "partial 16S ribosomal RNA". It matches the Rfam family "Bacterial small subunit ribosomal RNA", at positions 103 to 354 of the family's 1533-position model. Lineage: Bacteria; Bacillati; Actinomycetota; Actinomycetes; Bifidobacteriales; Bifidobacteriaceae. The record is from RNAcentral.
CGGGUGAGUAAUGCGUGACCAACCUGCCCCAUGCUCCAGAAUAGCUCUUGGAAACGGGUGGUAAUGCUGGAUGCUCCAACUUGACGCAUGUCUUGUUGGGAAAGUGUUUAGUGGCAUGGGAUGGGGUCGCGCCCUAUCAGCUUGUAGGCGGGGUAAUGGCCCACCUAGGCUUCGACGGGUAGCCGGCCUGAGAGGGCGGACGGCCACAUUGGGACUGAGAUACGGCCCAGACUCCUACGGGAGGCAGCAGAC